Molecule: ribosomal RNA, 496 nt
Filed under: uncultured bacterium
Lineage: Bacteria
Description: partial 16S ribosomal RNA
Rfam family: Bacterial small subunit ribosomal RNA
Source: RNAcentral
GAUGAACGCUGGCGGCGUGCCUAAUACAUGCAAGUCGAGCGAACAGACGAGGAGCUUGCUCCUCUGACGUUAGCGGCGGACGGGUGAGUAACACGUGGAUAACCUACCUAUAAGACUGGGAUAACUUCGGGAAGCCGGAGCUAAUACCGGAUAAUAUAUUGAACCGCAUGGUUCAAUAGUGAAAGACGGUUUUGCUGUCACUUAUAGAUGGAUCCGCGCCGCAUUAGCUAGUUGGUAAGGUAACGGCUUACCAAGGCAACGAUGCGUAGCCGACCUGAGAGGGUGAUCGGCCACACUGGAACUGAGACACGGUCCAGACUCCUACGGGAGGCAGCAGUAGGGAAUCUUCCGCAAUGGGCGAAAGCCUGACGGAGAAACGCCGCGUGAGUGAUGAAGGUCUUCGGAUCGUAAAACUCUGUUAUUAGGGAAGAACAAAUGUGUAAGUAACUAUGCACGUCUUGACGGUACCUAAUCAGAAAGCCACGGCUAACUACGU